Molecule: non-coding RNA, 54 nt
Organism: Salmo salar (Atlantic salmon)
Lineage: Eukaryota; Metazoa; Chordata; Actinopteri; Salmoniformes; Salmonidae
Source: Rfam
UGCAUUCACUACUGUAAGUCGCUCUAGAUAAGAGCAUCUGCUAAAUGACUAAAA